Molecule: ribosomal RNA, 565 nt
Filed under: uncultured Bacteroidota bacterium
Lineage: Bacteria; Pseudomonadati; Bacteroidota
Description: bacterial SSU rRNA
Rfam family: Bacterial small subunit ribosomal RNA
Source: RNAcentral
UUAAGUGAUCCACCUGGGGAGUACGACCGCAAGGUUGAAACUCAAAGGAAUUGACGGGGGCCCGCACAAGCGGAGGAACAUGUGGUUUAAUUCGAUGAUACGCGAGGAACCUUACCUGGGCUUAAAUGUAGAACGCCGGAUCGGGAAACUGAUCUUUCUUCGGACGGUCUGCAAGGUGCUGCAUGGCUGUCGUCAGCUCGUGCCGUGAGGUGUCGGGUUAAGUCCCAUAACGAGCGCAACCCUCAUCAUUAGUUGCCAGCGGGUAAUGCCGGGGACUCUAAUGAAACUGCCGGUGUAAACCGAGAGGAAGGUGGGGAUGACGUCAAGUCAGCACGGCCCUUAUGUCCAGGGUUACACACGUGUUACAAUGGUAGGUACAGAGGGCAGCUACCGGGUGACCGGAUGCAAAUCUCGAAAACCUAUCUCAGUUCGGAUCGAAGUCUGCAACUCGACUUCGUGAAGCUGGAUUCGCUAGUAAUCGCGCAUCAGCCACGGCGCGGUGAAUACGUUCCCGGGCCUUGUACACACCGCCCGUCAAGCCAUGGAAGCUGGGGGUACCUGAAGU